This 276-nucleotide long non-coding RNA is filed under the name Zea mays. RNAcentral describes it as "long non-coding RNA (ZMAY_LNC005522)". The record is from RNAcentral. Lineage: Eukaryota; Viridiplantae; Streptophyta; Magnoliopsida; Poales; Poaceae.
UCCCAUCGACCUCCCCGCCCAGUUCCGCCUCCCCCUCCUGCAUCAGGAGCCUCUCGAUCUCCGAGAGCGCCACCUCCCCGAGCGGGUUCGUCCGGGAGGUCACCGACUCCGGCGACCCCGCCUCCGCAUCGUGCGCCGUCGCCGGCGCCGGCGGAGGCGGGGACGGGAUGAUGAGGCCGGAGACGGCGGCGGGGUCGCCGGAGAAGGAGGCGAGGAGGGCGUCAAGGUCGAUGUCGGGGAAGAGGUCGAUGUCCAUGGGAACGGCGAGAUAUUUUG